AACGAACGCUGGCGGCGUGCUUAACACAUGCAAGUCGAACGCGAAAGGGACUUCGGUCCUGAGUAAAGUGGCGCACGGGUGAGUAACGCGUAGAUAACCUGUCUUCAUGUCUGGAAUAAUACGCCGAAAGGGGUACUAAUACCGGAUAUUCUUGCUUUUCAUAAGUUAUGCAAGCAAAGGUGGCCUCUGCAUAUGCUACUGCAUGAAGAGGGGUCUGCGUACCAUUAGCUAGUAGGUGGGGUAAUGGCCUACCUAGGCGACGAUGGUUAGCGGGUCUGAGAGGAUGAUCCGCCACACUGGCACUGGAACACGGGCCAGACUCCUACGGGAGGCAGCAGUGAGGAAUAUUGCGCAAUGGGGGAAACCCUGACGCAGCGACGCCGCGUGAGUGAGGAAAGGCCUUCGGGUCGUAAAGCUCUGUCAAGAGGAAAGAAGUGUACAAUGGCUAAUACCUGUUGUAUUUGACGGUACCUCCAAAGGAAGCACCGGCUAACUCCGUGCCAGCAGCAGC
RNAcentral lists this ribosomal RNA (511 nucleotides) under uncultured bacterium. RNAcentral describes it as "bacterial SSU rRNA". It matches the Rfam family "Bacterial small subunit ribosomal RNA", at positions 29 to 518 of the family's 1533-position model. The record is from RNAcentral.